RNAcentral lists this ribosomal RNA (253 nucleotides) under uncultured bacterium. Its description in RNAcentral is "partial 16S ribosomal RNA". It matches the Rfam family "Bacterial small subunit ribosomal RNA", at positions 524 to 776 of the family's 1533-position model. The record is from RNAcentral.
UACGUAGGGUGCAAGCGUUGUCCGGAAUUAUUGGGCGUAAAGAGCGUGUAGGCGGCCAGAUAGGUCAGCUGUGAAAACUCGAGGCUCAACCUCGAGACGCCGGUUGAAACCAUUUGGCUAGAGUCCGGAAGAGGAGAGUGGAAUUCCUGGUGUAGCGGUGAAAUGCGCAGAUAUCAGGAAGAACACCCGUGGCUAAGGCGGCUCUCUAGUACGGUACUGACGCUGAGACGCGAAAGCGUGGGGAGCGAACAGG